Molecule: long non-coding RNA, 1420 nt
Filed under: Sarcophilus harrisii (Tasmanian devil)
Lineage: Eukaryota; Metazoa; Chordata; Mammalia; Dasyuromorphia; Dasyuridae
Description: lncRNA (ENSSHAG00000026673.1)
Source: RNAcentral
GGAGGAUGUGGAGAGAAAAUUCAGGAGGGAUUUUUAGGAUAUGAGUGUAGGCCUGAAGCUGGGACAGCACAUCCAGUCUGGAAGGGAAUGGUUUGCUUAGUGCCCAUUUUCUCAUUUCUUCUGUUGACUUAAACUCCUUGUGAAAGGCUCAGCUUCCAUAAACUCAAUUCAGUUGAAAGAUUUUGAGCAGGAAGAGGCUUCUGAGGCUACUUAGUGCAACCCUUUCAUUUCAUAGAUGAGGAAGCUGAGGACUGGAAUGAAAGAUUUAUCAAGGGUCAUCUGCUCAUUUGGGAAUCUGACAAAAAAAGACUCGAUUGGUUUAUCCUUGUGAUUUCCUCGGACUCCGGCUGAGUGAAGAUGGAUGGUGGCAUUGGGAACUGGUUCUUCCUGGACUUUUCCCACCCCUCCAGCCCCCAGUCAUGGGGAGGAGGGAGAGCAGUCGGCCAAUCUAGCAGUAAAUUGCAUCUUUUCAAGUAUCGGGGUGAGCAGCGAGGAUUUUCCUUUGGUGUUCUUCAUCUCUAAGAAAAACAGGAACAAAGCCCAGGAGGCCGGAGACAGACUGAGUUAGGCUCCAGAAUGCUGAAUGUGAAGUCCUAGGAUCCAGAUUCUGAUUCUGGCCGGCCCGGACCCUUCUUCGCCACAGGGCCACAGGCCAUCGCCCCGAUGCAUUUGGAAUCAGAGACCCGGAUUCGAAUCUCAAGUCUGAAAGGGACCAUGGGCCUGUGGGCAGGAGCUUCGCCUCUCACCUUCUCCUCUCCAAAAAGAAACUUUCCUCAGUAACACAAUAGAAAGUUAGAGUAAGUGACCUGGACGGGCCUUUUUACAAUGAAGUCUCAGGACCCUGUCACCCGGAUCACUGGUCAGGGCCUGCCCAACUCAGGCUUCGCUAGAAAGCUUUAUAAUGAUUUUACUGACAGUUUUAUGAUCUGAUUCUGCUUUUAUAUAAUUCCAGGGAUCAUUUAAAUGUCUACAGUGGGCACUGCUACUUUCUAUGUCCUUAUUGUUCUAAUCAUAUUUUUUUAAUUUACUCAGAACCACAACUAGGGGCAGACAACUGGGUCUUUGUCCCAGAGCACUGAAAUUUAAAGGGGUUGACAGGACUUGUAAUUCUGUAGCAGCACAGAAACAACCGAGAUUAGCACCUGUUUGGCAAGAAUAAGAUUAUUUUCUUGUCAGGGAGUUACCUACACCAAUGAAAUCACCAGUCUGGGCCCUAUGCCCCUAAUUUAUUCAAAUGAAAAAAUCAAAUGCCUCCUAUACGCCAGAAGAACGCCUCUAAAACCCCAUCCCCCACUCUUUUCCCCUUCUUCAUAACUUGUGACCCUUGUAGCAGCAGCCUCACAAUCAACCAAUCACAAACGGGCAUUUAUCAAAUGCCUACUGUGUGUUGCGAGGAUAAAAAUACUGUGUAAAAUUAAAC